Molecule: non-coding RNA, 339 nt
Organism: Castor canadensis (American beaver)
Lineage: Eukaryota; Metazoa; Chordata; Mammalia; Rodentia; Castoridae
Source: the annotation of a RefSeq genome assembly
AUGAGACCAUUGGGUCUUCUCCUGUGGCUGAUGACAGCUCCCCAAUGUGUUCUGUCACAGGUGCAGCUGCAGGAGUCAGGACCUGGCCUGGUGAAGCCCUCGGAGACCUUGUCCCUCACUUGUACAGUCUCUGGUUACUCAAUUACCAGUGGUUAUGGCUGGAACUGGAUCUGCCAGCCUCCUGGAAAGAGCCUGGUGUGGAUGGGGUACAUAUGGUCUGAUGGCGGCACAAGCUACAGCCCAUCCCUCAAGAGCCGUAUCUUCAUCUCCAGAGACACGUCUAAGAAGCAGUUCUCCCUGAAGCUGAGCUCUGUGACCACAGAGGACACAGCCACAUAA